RNAcentral lists this ribosomal RNA (2321 nucleotides) under Triticum aestivum (bread wheat). Its description in RNAcentral is "partial small subunit ribosomal RNA". The record is from RNAcentral. Lineage: Eukaryota; Viridiplantae; Streptophyta; Magnoliopsida; Poales; Poaceae.
CGCAUGGCAGCAUUUGUUUCCAAACGAUCUGAAACCGUCCGAUCAGGCUAAUCCGGCGGCUCCCGUGAAACGUGCGUCGUCACUCCGGCCCCGCCGUGCCAUGCCAAGUGCCACCCUCCAUCCAUCCAUCCAUCGUCCAAUGGGCAGUCGCCAAGCCGGGGGACCGAGAGCUGGACGCGUCGGUUACCAAACAAAAUCCGGCACGCCCCCGCAGUUUUACUAGUCUUUGAGAUGAGAUGAGAAAAUGGCAUGUUCCAGCCACCUUCGAUCGGCUUCCAUAACUCCCAUCCCAUGUUCCAUGUUUCAGGAACAAACAAACAAACGGAAACCCCCCGACACGCCCCCAACAGACCGGACGCGGACGCGGACGCCGAUCCUCUCAAACUUCCGCCUUUUUUUCUUUCCAAUCUGUACUAGCCUGUGAUUCUUCCACCCCUCCCCGCGCCGCCUCCCCUGAUUUCUUUUCUCCCCACCCGCCGGAUUCGGCCCCCUCCUUGCGCCCCUCAGCUGUCAUCCUCCCCCAACCGAAAUCCGCUGCUGCGGCGGCGGCGAGCCAGGCCGGCUGCUGCUCUGCUGCCCGCGGGCCGGCGGCGGCCGAUUCGUCUGGCGCGGGUUCGGCCGGGCGGCGCCGCCUUCUCCGCCAAUCAAGAUCGAUCUGGGCUCUGACGGCAGCCCCUCGCGAGCUGCUGCCCGGCCGCGGGCGUCGUCGGGGACAUGAAGGCCGCGCCGCUGCCCCGCACGAGAGCGGCAGCUUCUCCGAGGCGGCGCGCGUGGAUACUCGCCGUCGCGGCCCUCGUCUCCGUCGUGGUGGUCUGGGCCUACCACUACCCGCCCCAGCAUUACGCCUCCCCCGUCAGCAAUUGGCUCCCGGUGGAGCCCGACAGGGAGCUGACCGACGACGAGAGGGCCUCCCGCGUUGUCUUCGGCCACAUACUCUCCACGCCGCCUGUUCGGUCCAGGGGGUCCAAGAUCGCCUUCAUGUUCCUCACCCCGGGCAACUUGCCGUUUGAAAAACUAUGGGAGAAAUUCUUCGAGGGUCAUGAGGGAAGAUAUACCAUAUAUGUUCACGCCUCGAGGGAGAAGCCAGAACAUGUCAGUCGCUUAUUUAUUGGUCGAGAUAUACACAGUGACAAGGUACAGUGGGGUCAGAUUUCUAUGGUUGAUGCUGAGAGAAGGUUGUUGGCGAAUGCUCUACAAGACAUUGACAACCAGCAUUUUGUGUUGCUUUCUGACAGCUGCGUACCUUUGCACAAAUUUGACUAUGUGUAUGACUACCUGAUGGGAACAAAUCUCAGUUUUAUUGACUCCUUCUAUGAUCCUGGACCACACGGAAAUUUUAGAUAUUCGCAAAAUAUGUUACCUGAGGUUAGAGAGUCUGACUUCAGGAAGGGUUCACAGUGGUUCUCAGUCAAGCGGCAACAUGCAUUGAUGACAAUCGCGGACAGUCUUUACUAUACAAAGUUCAAGCUUUAUUGUAAGCCAGGAAUGGAAGGUGGAUGCAAUUGCUAUGCCGAUGAGCAUUAUAUGCCAACACUAUUCAAUAUGAUGGAUCCAAAUGGAAUAGCGAAUUGGUCCGUAACUCAUGUUGACUGGUCGGAAGGAAAGUGGCAUCCAAAAGCUUAUCGGGCGCAAGAUGUCACUUAUGGGCUCCUGAAGAAUAUAACUUCAAUUGACAUGAGUCACCAUGUUACAAGCGAUAGCAAGAAAGUGGUUACACAGAACCCUUGCUUAUGGAAUGGAGUGAAGAAACCAUGCUACCUGUUCGCCAGGAAGUUCUACCCUGAGUCCAUGAACAAUCUCAUGUACUUAUUCUCGAAUUACACCCUCUUUUGAGUGUGCUGUGCUCAUCCCAUAUACUACAGGAAUUUACAGGAGAUAUUUUUGCUAUAGAAACAUCUGUACAUUUGGAAGGACAUUAGAUCUUUUGACAAGUUGGUGGAUAUAGAAGAUAUACGGAGGAGAAGGCAUUCGCUGCAGUAAUUGAGUGGUUCCCAAUCCCAUCUCCAUCUCAGUCCAUUUUAACUCGCUCCAGGACAUCACAUAUUUAGGACGACCAUGUCUUUUUACUAGUUUCUUUACAGAUUUUUAGUCACAGAUUCUGUGAUGUAUAGUAAGAUUACUGUAACUCGGAAAAGCCAUUAGAUGAUGCCCAUUAUUGGUUACACUAAUACCACUGAGUCUGCUCAAAGCUCCGUCGUAUCAUUUCGCUUGUUCAAGUGGCUGUCAUGUUCUGCAUUUCAUAUUUCCACAGUACUUGCUUGAUUUUGAAAUAUAAGGUGUAUUUUUUUGGGAAAGUAAUUUUUUUUCUUUUUUUCUGACCA